AUGAAAGUCUUCAAUAGGAAGUCAGCUCCUAUUUUAAAACAAGCCUUCAAUAUUGUUUGCCUGCAAAGAAACAAAGGUUACAUGUUUCAAAAGUUUGCACAAUUCCUUCCCUUAGUGAGUAGGACAGUGUUUGAGUAAGAUUCGUCUGUUCUCCCCGUGGUCAGAAAAGGGAACCACAUGGACGUGACCAGUUGCGUAUGAGAAUGGAUGAACCACUGCAGAUGGGGGUCCCUGGAGGCUUCAGCUCCUCUGAUCUGGGGCUGAUGCAGAACUGAAAGCAUGUUUCUGCUCUGUGCCUUGUAUCUGCACUAAUGCGAGGAGGUGAAUAGCCAGUUCAGGGAACUAAUCUAGCUGAAAUCUUUCAAAAACAGCGAUGAAAUUUUAGGAAGAUCAGCUCUCAGAAAAGGAUCACCUCUGCAUGUACAAAAGAGUAGGUACAUAGUACUAAGCAUAUAGAAAGGAGUAUGUACUUGCCUUUAUCAGUGCUGCUGAUUCAGAUGCCCUCAAAUACAUGCUUGGACUACAUUAAGAAUUUAUCAAGGAAGUUCAGCUAGAAAUUAAGCUACAAAUAUAAUAUCUGUAAAGAAACAUCACCAGAAGAGUUUUCAAAUGGGAAAAUCACACACUCUUACAAAUUAUAACUGCUUUCCCAUAUUCUUUCCAAUACUAACAUUUUUAGAUUAACUGCUAUUUCUUCAAGGGGAGGAAAAUAACUUGAAUAUAAGAAGACCUCAGUAAAUUAUUGUCAAAAUAUUUUCUUUUUUCUAUUCAUUUUCUUCUUCCACGGUGCUUUCUGUUUAACAAAACAUGUUUCUUUUUGCAUCUUAGCAUUACCAAAUUCAUCCUCUAGAACCCAUCACAUGUAAAAGAAUUACACUGUCUCUUCUGGGAAGAACCUUCCACUCAGUGUUUUGUAAUUGACUGUCAAAUGCAGCUCCAUCUGUGAUUAUUGUUUUAACUUCUUUUAAAUCUCAUUAUCAAUCUUAAAUUCCCACAGUGUGGGAGAGGAGGUAUCCUCUUCCAAUACAAGAUGUCUAUACAUAUUACUAUAAAGGAAUUAUAGUCUUUGAAUGAGUAGAUAAGGACACUAGACUUGUGUGCCUGAGUGUCCCUGUCUGGGUGUAUUCUUAUUAACAGU
RNAcentral lists this long non-coding RNA (1138 nucleotides) under Anas platyrhynchos platyrhynchos (common mallard). RNAcentral's name for it is "lncRNA (ENSAPLG00000020831.1)". The record is from RNAcentral. Lineage: Eukaryota; Metazoa; Chordata; Aves; Anseriformes; Anatidae.